CAGUUCGAAUUAUUUCAAGAAAAUCCACCACGGUUAACCAAAUCAAAUUAACAAAAGCCCUAAGGUUUGUUUCAACGCAAAAUCGGCGUUGAUUAUAUUCAACAAACAUUUUGUAUACGUGUUUUUCUCUUUAUAUUUAAAUGAGUUGUUUUUGGUUGAGCGUGUGCGUGCUUGGUCGAUGAGGCGUAAGCUGCCAAAUUUAAAAUGGCGGAUGAAAAUCCCAGUGCGAAAUUUUGGGCUGAUGUGGGUCUGAUUGCUAUGACGAUUCGACAAGCAGUGGCGCUACAUUUCUCACGGAGAAUUUUCUAAUUUGGCGCCAAAAUCGACUGAAAGCAAGUCGAGGUCAGAAGUCGAAAGGAUUUUUCUUUGACUGUUUACGGAAUUAAAAGUGAAUUGCAGACAAACGACUCCAGAAUGCAUCCGCAUCCGAAGCUAGUCGAAGGCUUCCUCUCGGUUUGUCCGAACUGCGGCUUCGCCGGAAUCGAUCACGCCAAAUGUCUGCGGUGCAAAAAGGUCUUUGUCCGUCCGCCACGUCGCAUUCCUCAACCUGAUCAACCGGUUGUUCCAAACUAAAGAGAUUGAAGACGAGUAAUGAUUCUUUAUUGGUAAUAUUAUACUUUAUUAUCCUUUCGUAAUAAACAUAGAACGACACAUGCUCAGUGAAUAAAUCAAAAUAAUCUUCAAAGUAAACGGUAUUUCAUUUCCAAGCC
Culex pipiens pallens (northern house mosquito) is the source of this 710-nucleotide long non-coding RNA. RefSeq lists it as uncharacterized. The record is from RefSeq and is a predicted model, not a curated record. The transcript is spliced from 2 exons. Lineage: Eukaryota; Metazoa; Arthropoda; Insecta; Diptera; Culicidae.